UGGUUGUAAUUCUUUAUACGGACGAAUCUCCCGCUCGUGAGCGGGACUGACGGUACUGUACGAAUAAGCAACGGCUAACUCCGUGC
RNAcentral lists this ribosomal RNA (86 nucleotides) under uncultured bacterium. RNAcentral's name for it is "partial 16S ribosomal RNA". The record is from RNAcentral.